UCAGCGUCUAAAUGCGGAACGAAAAACGAUUAUUACCUUCUAUUUGCGUUCUAAAAGAUUUAAAACAAAAAAAAAGGAAACAUUUCUGGACGAGGAAGCGAAUAUCUACGGUCGUAAAUCACGACGUGGGUUGAAGUUUCACGCAAAAGGCAACGGCCUUAUUAUUCCGCAAAUGUACUGCCAGAAGGUCAAUUUCUGUAAAAAAAAAAUAUCUACUGGUUCUACGCGUUUCCAUCCAUCAUCGUUGCCCAUUUCUAAAAAAAAAAAAAGAUUUGCUAAUUUCAACUCAUUUCUCAUCAAAAUAGGAUCUGAUUUGCAAUUGAUUUUGAUCGAAUGCCGCGCACAUCAAAAUUAAUUCAUUCAACAUUUGGGCUGCGGUGGUUUACUGGCAAAUGACUAGACCAGAAAUGUUGAUGAAAUUCAAUGAUGUCAUGGCGAAAAAAGGGACUGAACCUUCAAAAUCCUGGAAACUUCCUGACUCGACUCUUUUUAGAGAUUCCCAUUCAGUUCCUCUGAAAAAAUGAUGGCAUCACUCGAUUGACUCAUUCUUCUUAUAGCAAACAACCAAAGUCAAACACUAGUAUCUCUCAUAAACCCGUUUUGAACAAUGUCCCAGAAAGUCAUUUGCAACAUAUUGAAAUUUCCAUCAAAUUGUGUAAUAGGCCCACCCCAAAAUAAUAAUAAUUGUCGGUAUGGUUUUGCAAUUAUCUCGGUUGUAUAUCUCCUUAUGGAAUUUACACGUAACAAAUGAACAUAUUCAAGGCUGAUGACGCCGACUAGAAAAAAAAAAAAGUUAGAACGCAGCCAUACACGCGUAGACGAAAAUAAGAGAGAUAUUUAACAUUUGAUAGGGCGGAGUUUUCACGGUCACCUGCUUUUGCCCGUUUCCCAGCGCAAUGUGAAAGUGGGAGUUACAGUAUACUAUUUGAUUGUGUAUUUUUUUUUGCUUUGCUCCCGAUUUGUUGGGUAUAAAAGACAUUGGCUAGUGCAAUGAUCGAAUCAAUACCAUUUCAGCGCUCAAACUACUAUUUUAAACCGGCUCUAGAAACAUGUACAAGUAUCUCGAAAAUGGCGACAGAGAGAGUUUCGGAUUGGAAACGGGAUCUAAAACGACCAUCGUCAGCGGCCAACAGCGUCAGGUGCUUUACCGUGCAACGUUCCGCCAGGAAGUGAAAUCCAUUCCGCACAGACUGGCUUCCAUCUGGAACAAAUACAGAUCCGUCUAGCAACAAUCAACGCAAAUUUGGUUUAUUUUUCCUCCUCCCACGCAUCUGUGUUCGUUUCCCUACCACCUCUCGUUCUGAUGGUGUCGUCGUUUCACUAAUUAACAGCACAGCAGACGGUUAUUAUUUCGGUUCCUUCCGGACCAGUGGCUUAUACGGAAACCGUCUACUGUGCUGCCCAUCUUCGCUUUUUUACAAAGAUCUAUCAAAUCCGGCAAAUCAUCUUUUGUCACUAUAUUAGCCAAGAGAGACAAUCUUGUUUUUUGUUUCAACCAACUUUUUACUUUUGUUCUCUUCUCGCGUAUUCAGUUUUUGCAAAGUCAAAAAUACAAACAAAAACAA
Molecule: long non-coding RNA, 1565 nt
Filed under: Daphnia pulex (common water flea)
Lineage: Eukaryota; Metazoa; Arthropoda; Branchiopoda; Diplostraca; Daphniidae
Description: uncharacterized LOC124209196
Source: RNAcentral